CAGAUUUGAUUCUGGUUUCACUUAUAGGAUUGCCGUUGAUGAUACAUGCUAAUCGUACUACCCUAGUGAGAGUAAUAAAAAUAUAAUCAAGUUUAAUACAUUGUCUAUAUAAGUAGAGUAUUUAACCUAUUCUAUGCUCCGUUUUUACCACUCCAUACCGGCCUUCAAGCAGUACUUAAUAUUAACCAAGAUGCGUAAGCAUGCCUCAGCUAACGGCAUAAAUAUAUGGCAAAUAACGUGCCAGCCGCCGCGGUUACACCAAAAAUGUAAACUUAUAAAUUACACUAGGUGCUUAUUCUUGAAUUAAAUCGAUCAUUACCUAAAAUUUGUGGUCAAAUAUACUUACGAAGAAAUUAUCAAUUACUUUAAGCACACGAGACGAAGGUAAAAACCAGGAUUAGAGACCCUGUUAUUCUUCAGUAGUUAACACUAGGCUACUAUUAAUAUCGUUUGAAAACCAAAGAUUUUGGCAGUGAUUAAAGUCUAUUCAGAGGAAUUUGUUUCAUGAAAUCGAUACUCCGCGACCAUCUUACUUCCCUUCGCUUUCAGCUUAUAUACCGCCGUCGUCAGCUGAUAUUGAAAAAUAAUACACAUCAGCGAAAAGAUCAAUUCUUCACGUCAGGUCAGGGUGUAGCCAAUAGGGAAGAUGGAAUGAAUUACAAUUAAUUAUAAUUAACGGAUUCUAGUACGUAAUAGCUAGAUGAAGCUGGAUUUGAUUGUAACUUCAUAUAAUUAUGAUAACUUGACUAUAGCUCUUAGUCAUGCACACACCGCCCGUCAUUUUCCUUAAAAAAUAAAGGAAAGAAGUCGUAACAAGGUAGGGCAUCUGGAAAGAUCCCCUGGGAAAUG
This 849-nucleotide ribosomal RNA is filed under the name Asymmetron lucayanum. Its description in RNAcentral is "12S ribosomal RNA". Lineage: Eukaryota; Metazoa; Chordata; Leptocardii; Amphioxiformes; Branchiostomatidae. The record is from RNAcentral.